This 430-nucleotide ribosomal RNA is filed under the name Chloroflexota bacterium. RNAcentral describes it as "Chloroflexi bacterium partial 16S ribosomal RNA". It matches the Rfam family "Bacterial small subunit ribosomal RNA", at positions 355 to 777 of the family's 1533-position model. Lineage: Bacteria; Bacillati; Chloroflexota. The record is from RNAcentral.
UAGGGAAUCUUCGGCAAUGGACGAAAGUCUGACCGAGCAACGCCGCGUGAGUGAAGAAGGUUUUCGGAUCGUAAAACUCUGUUGUUAGAGAAGAACAAGGACGUUAGUAACUGAACGUCCCCUGACGGUAUCUAACCAGAAAGCCACGGCUAACUACGUGCCAGCAGCCGCGGUAAUACGUAGGUGGCAAGCGUUGUCCGGAUUUAUUGGGCGUAAAGCGAGCGCAGGCGGUUUCUUAAGUCUGAUGUGAAAGCCCCCGGCUCAACCGGGGAGGGUCAUUGGAAACUGGGAGACUUGAGUGCAGAAGAGGAGAGUGGAAUUCCAUGUGUCGCGGUGAAAUGCGUAGAUAUAUGGAGGAACACCAGUGGCGAAGGCGGCUCUCUGGUCUGUAACUGACGCUGAGGCUCGAAAGCGUGGGGAGCAAACAGGA